Macaca mulatta (Rhesus monkey) is the source of this 1971-nucleotide long non-coding RNA. The record is from Ensembl. Lineage: Eukaryota; Metazoa; Chordata; Mammalia; Primates; Cercopithecidae.
AGUACUAAUAUGCUGCUAGGAUUGCUCCUUGAAGCUAGGGAAUGGGGGAGUGGGGAGGACAAUGUUCUAUAAUAAAUAAAGUGGGCAUAUCAGAACUGACACUGGAGAAGGCGUCAUAAAGCUCAAAAUAUAAGGUAUGUGGAAAUGUGAGAAUGGAGUUUGAUAUGGUUUGGAUCUGUGUCCCUGCCCAAAUCUCAUGAUGAAUUAUAAUCCCCAAUGUUGGAGGUGGGCCAGAUGGAAGGUGAUUGCAUCAUGGUGGUGGAUUUCUCAUGAAUGCUUUAGCACCAUCCCCCUUGAUACUGUUCCCGUGAUAGUGAGUGAAUUCUUGCAAGAUCUGGUUGUUUAAAAGCGUGUGGCACCUGCCACCCCGCUCUCUCUCUUGCUCCUGCCCUGAGCAUGUGAUGUGCCUGCUCCCAGUUUGCCUUCCACCAUGAUUGUAAGCUUCCUGAAGCCUCCCCAGAGGUCAAGUAGAUGCUGCCAUGCUUCCUGUACAGCCUACAGAACCAUGAACCAAUUAAACCUCUUUUCUUUGUAAAUUACUCAGUCUCAGGUAUCUCUUUAUAGCAACGCGAGAAUGACCUAAUACAAAGUUACAACGCGGGACCAGAUCCGUUAGACCAUGGAUCCAAACCAUAUCAAGCUACCUCCUGACCAUGCUCCCUGGGAAGGCUAAGAAGACAUUCCUUCACCAGGGGUGCAAUGUUUCUUCUGGACAAGAUGAAAAAGACCUUACUGAAAACGCAAAAUUAGGCAUGAGAAAAACUUCUGUUCCCCCUCCUGACGCAGUGAUAAGGGAAUUCUUCAUGCUCUACAAUGGAAGAAAGAACAGGCUUGUGAGCAGCCAGUGCAUCGCUAUAGCUGCAUCAUCACAGGCAGUAAGAACAUUUGGAUUGUGUCCUUUCUCUCCCAGUUACACCUCACAGUUUCCAACAGGUUUGGCCACUGCAACCUCCUCAUGGCAAAUUGGCCACAACAUGGCUGGAGAACAAGCAGGCGAGGAGGAGUGUCAGAUGGAAGGCCUUCUGCAAAUGGGCAGCCUACAGAACUGUGAUGGGUAGGAGCCAGGCUUGGAUGGAGCCUGUGUCUGUGUGGACCAGCAAAGCAGUUCCAUGUCACCAGGUGCAGGGCUACAGGGUCUUCUGUCCUGUGCUGUGCAUCUUGAUGACCUAGGCCUGAAGGUCACAAGGACAGCACAGUGAGGACUUAAGCACCUGGAAAAAUCAACAUGCAGCGAGCUCACGUUUCACAACAUCUUCUGGUCCACCAACUCUCCCAAGAGGAAUUGUCGUUGGAAGAAUGCACUUAACGUUUGUUCAAAUGUUUUUGUUUUUGUUUUUUUUUGUCAGGGGAGGCAGACGGAGUCUCACUCUGUUACCCAGACUGGAGUGCAGUGGUGCGAUCUUGGCUCACUGCAACCUCCACUCCCCAGGCACAAGUGACCCUUCUACCUCAGUCUCCUGAGUAGUUGGGACUACAGGCAUGCAACAUCAUGCCCGGUUAAUUUUUGUAUUUUUAGUGGAGACAGGGUUUUGCCAUGUUGCCCAGGCUGGUCUCGAAUCAUGACCUCAAGUGAUUCACCUGCCUCAGCCUCCCAAAGUACUGGGAUUACAGAUGUGAGCCACCGAGCCUGGCCAAAAGAGAUUUAUUAUUAUUUUUUUCUCUGGGUGGUAGAAAUGCCAGUGGUUUUAUUUUCUUUUUACUGAUACACAUUUUCUGCAAUGGUAUGGUAUUAAUUGUGUUAAAAAACAAAAACAAAAACAAAAAAAAACAAGAAAUGAUAAAAGGUGUUUUUCAAAGGACCCCAGUCCCAUUUAUAAGGCAAAUAAUGGGACUGGGGUCCUUUGAAAAACACCAUCAAUCAUUUCUUUUUUUCUUUCUUUCUUUCUUUUAUUACACUUUAAGUUCUGGGAUACAUGUGCAGAACGUGCAGUUUUGUUACAUAGAUGUACACGUGCCAUGGUGGUUUGCUGC